Molecule: ribosomal RNA, 459 nt
Filed under: uncultured bacterium
Lineage: Bacteria
Description: bacterial SSU rRNA
Rfam family: Bacterial small subunit ribosomal RNA
Source: RNAcentral
GACGAACGCUGGCGGCGUGCCUAACACAUGCAAGUCGAACGGAGCCAGCCCCUUCGGGGACUGACUUAGUGGCGAACGGGUGAGUAACGCGUGAGAAACCUGCCUUUCAGUGGGGGACAACAGUUGGAAACGACUGCUAAUACCGCAUAAUGUCAUUUGGGGGCAUCCUCGAAUGACCAAAGAUUUAUUGCUGAAAGAUGGUCUCGCGUCUGAUUAGCUAGAUGGCGGGUAACGGCCCACCAUGGCGACGAUCAGUAGCCGGACUGAGAGGUCGAACGGCCACAUUGGGACUGAGACACGGCCCAGACUCCUACGGGAGGCAGCAGUGGGGGAUAUUGCACAAUGGAGGAAACUCUGAUGCAGCAACGCCGCGUGAGGGAAGAAGGAUUCGGUUGUAAACCUCUGUCUUCGGUGACGAUAAUGACGGUAACCGAGGAGGAAGCUCCGGCUAACUACGUG